RNAcentral lists this ribosomal RNA (445 nucleotides) under uncultured bacterium. Its description in RNAcentral is "partial 16S ribosomal RNA". It matches the Rfam family "Bacterial small subunit ribosomal RNA", at positions 354 to 796 of the family's 1533-position model. The record is from RNAcentral.
GUGAGGAAUAUUGGACAAUGGGCGCAAGCCUGAUCCAGCCAUGCCGCGUGCAGGAAGACGCAUCUAUGGUGUGUAAACUGCUUUUGUACGGGAAGAAACACUCCCUCGUGAGGGAGCUUGACGGUACCGUAAGAAUAAGGAUCGGCUAACUCCGUGCCAGCAGCCGCGGUAAUACGGAGGAUCCAAGCGUUAUCCGGAAUCAUUGGGUUUAAAGGGUCCGUAGGCGGUUUAAUAAGUCAGUGGUGAAAGCCCAUCGCUCAACGAUGGAACAGGCAUUGAUACUGUUAGACUUGAAUUACAAGGAAGUAACUAGAAUAUGUAGUGUAGCGGUGAAAUGCUUAGAUAUUACAUGGAAUACCAAUUGCGAAGGCAGGUUACUACUUGUGGAUUGACGCUGAUGGACGAAAGCGUGGGGAGCGAACAGGAUUAGAUACCCUGGUAGUCC